Long non-coding RNA from Fukomys damarensis (Damara mole-rat), 376 nucleotides. RefSeq lists it as uncharacterized. Lineage: Eukaryota; Metazoa; Chordata; Mammalia; Rodentia; Bathyergidae. The transcript is spliced from 3 exons. The record is from RefSeq and is a predicted model, not a curated record.
UGCAAUUCACCUCCUCCGACUGAACUGCUCGGUAUCCUCAGCAAUAUCUGAGAGAAACCCUAGGACCCUGAGGCAUAAGAAACAUCUACUACACUAAAAAGCCAAGCUCAAUAGAAACGGACACUAUUCUGCUCUGGCAAUGGUCACAGUGACAACAUCUGUGCCUUGCUGUCUUCAGUCAGAACUUACUGAUUGGAGUUGUGGUCAUCAGAUGAUAGACCGGCGAGAGAGAAGCACCCAGACACAAAGGAACCCAUUGGAACACGUGUAACUAAACUGGCCAGAUGCUAAGUAUAUUCCACACUUGGAUUUCCCAAAGAGAGAAUGCCACCACCACCACCAUGAAACUGCUAAGAAUGGGACUAGUACCUUCCCC